UACGUAGGGGGCUAGCGUUGUCCGGAAUCAUUGGGCGUAAAGCGCGUGUAGGCGGCCCGAUAAGUCCGCUGUGAAAGUCCAGGGCUCAACCCUGGGAUGCCGGUGGAUACUGUCGGGCUCGAGUCCGGAAGAGGCGAGUGGAGUUCCUGGUGUAGCGGUGAAAUGCGCAGAUAUCAGGAGGAACACCAAUGGCGAAGGCAGCUCGCUGGGACGUGACUGACGCUGAGACGCGAAAGCGUGGGGAGCAAACAGG
RNAcentral lists this ribosomal RNA (253 nucleotides) under uncultured bacterium. Its description in RNAcentral is "partial 16S ribosomal RNA". It matches the Rfam family "Bacterial small subunit ribosomal RNA", at positions 524 to 776 of the family's 1533-position model. The record is from RNAcentral.